RNAcentral lists this ribosomal RNA (497 nucleotides) under uncultured bacterium. RNAcentral describes it as "partial 16S ribosomal RNA". It matches the Rfam family "Bacterial small subunit ribosomal RNA", at positions 28 to 507 of the family's 1533-position model. The record is from RNAcentral.
GAUGAACGCUGGCGGCGUGCCUAAUACAUGCAAGUCGAGCGAACGGACGAGAAGCUUGCUUCUCUGAUGUUAGCGGCGGACGGGUGAGUAACACGUGGAUAACCUACCUAUAAGACUGGGAUCACUUCGGGAAACCGUAGCUAAUCCCGGAUAAUCUUUUGAACUGCAUGGUUCAAAAGUGAAAGACGGUCUUUCUGUCACUUAUAGAUGGAUCCGCGCUGCAUUAGCUAGUUGGUAAGGUAACGGCUUACCAAGGCAACGAUGCAUAGCCGACCUGAGAGGGUGAUCGGCCACACUGGAAGUGAGACACGGUCCAGACUCCUACGGGAGGCAGCAGUAGGGAAUCUUCCGCAAUGGGCGAAAGCCUGACGGAGCAACGCCGCGUGAGUGAUGAAGGUCUUGGGAUCGUAAAACUCUGUUAUUAGGGAAGAACAUAUGUGUAAGUAACUGUGCACAUCUUGACGGUACCUAAUCAGAAAGCCACGGCUAACUACGUG